CCUACGGGAGGCAGCAGUGGGGAAUAUUGGGCAAUGGGCGCAAGCCUGACCCAGCAACGCCGCGUGAAGGAAGAAGGCUUUCGGGUUGUAAACUUCUUUUCUCAGGGACGAAGCAAGUGACGGUACAUGAGUAAUAAGCCACGGCUAACUACGUGCCAGCAGCCGCGGAAAUACGUAGGUGGCAAGCGUUAUCCGGAUUUACUGGGUGUAAAGGGCGUGUAGGCGGGAAAGCAAGUCAGAUGUGAAAGCCAUGGGCUCAACCUGGGGCCUGCAUUUGAAACUGUUUUUCUUGAGUGCUGGAGAGGCAGGCGGAAUUCCUGGUGUAGCGGUGAAAUGCGUAGAUAUUAGGAGGAACACCAGUGGCGAAGGCGGUCUGCUGGACAGCGACUGACGCUGAGGCGCGAAAGCGUGGGGAGCAAACAGGAUUAGAUACCCCUGUAGUC
RNAcentral lists this ribosomal RNA (443 nucleotides) under uncultured bacterium. RNAcentral describes it as "partial 16S ribosomal RNA". It matches the Rfam family "Bacterial small subunit ribosomal RNA", at positions 338 to 795 of the family's 1533-position model. The record is from RNAcentral.